UCGGGUGUGUAAGCGUAGCGAUACGUUGAGCUAACCGAUACUAAUGAACCGUGAGGCUUAACCUUACAACGCCGAAGGUGUUU
Molecule: ribosomal RNA, 83 nt
Filed under: Klebsiella aerogenes
Lineage: Bacteria; Pseudomonadati; Pseudomonadota; Gammaproteobacteria; Enterobacterales; Enterobacteriaceae
Description: partial 23S ribosomal RNA
Source: RNAcentral